This 75-nucleotide small RNA is filed under the name Arabidopsis thaliana (thale cress). RNAcentral describes it as "ATSL042320". The record is from RNAcentral. Lineage: Eukaryota; Viridiplantae; Streptophyta; Magnoliopsida; Brassicales; Brassicaceae.
UGCUAAAUUUAAUUAUAAACAAAAUUAAAAAAUAAAAAGAAGAGGAGAAGACGACGUUAAUGUAAGUGUGAAUAA